Molecule: ribosomal RNA, 470 nt
Filed under: uncultured bacterium
Lineage: Bacteria
Description: partial 16S ribosomal RNA
Rfam family: Bacterial small subunit ribosomal RNA
Source: RNAcentral
GAUGAACGCUGGCGGCGCGCCUAACACAUGCAAGUCGAACGGUUAAAGCACCUUUUAGGUGUGUAUAAAGUGGCGAACGGCUGAGUAACACGUGGGCAACCUGCCCUCCUCUUGGGGAUAGCCUCGGGAAACCGAGGAUAAUACCCGAUACUUCAAUGUGGCCGCAUGACGACAUUGAGAAAGCUUUUGCGGAGAAGGAUGGGCCCGCGGCCUGUUAGCUUGUUGGUGGGGUAGAGGCCUACCAAGGCAAUGAUGGGUAGCUGGGUUGAGAGACCGACCAGCCAGAUUGGGACUGAGACACGGCCCAGACUCCUACGGGAGGCAGCAGUGGGGAAUCUUGCACAAUGGGCGAAAGCCUGAUGCAGCGACGCCGCGUGCGGGACGAAGGCCUUCGGGUUGUAAACCGCUUUCAGCAGGGACGAGGCGAUAAGUGACGGUACCUGCAGAAGAAGCCCCGGCUAACUACGUGC